This 891-nucleotide long non-coding RNA is filed under the name Pan troglodytes (chimpanzee). RNAcentral's name for it is "lincRNA". Lineage: Eukaryota; Metazoa; Chordata; Mammalia; Primates; Hominidae. The record is from RNAcentral.
GGGAUAGUAGCAGUGAGGAUGAGCAGAGGUCACUCUCGUCACCUUCUUGGUUUUGAGGACGAGACACACACACAGAGACAGAGAGAGAGAGAGAGUGCAAAGCAAGGCAAGGCAAGAGGAGUAAGAAGGUCAUUAUGCAAUCUUUCUCGGACUCAGCUCUCUAAUUCUUAAGAUCAGCAGUCUCAAAGUACCAUCUGUGUACUACUGGGAGCUCCUAAGACACUUUCAAGAGCCACAGCAAAAGAGAUGAAAUUCUGCCUGAACUAUUAUCCUCCAUUUACAGUUAAGUAAACUGAUGUCCUGGGAAAUGAGGCACUUUAGUUUUAAAAACUGCUAAAGUCUACUGCUACAUCAUGCAGCUAGCCUGGGCCCUGCUUUGCUUGUGUCAGUCAGCUCUGAAGAAGUCUCUGUCCUGUAAUUUAGACUGUAUGUCAUUAAGUGGGAUUAGUUCAGGGAAAUUCACAGGAAUAAUAAAAGACAGAAAACAUGAGGAUGAUGGGCCCCACCCCAGGACUGAAAAUGUGUGGAAACAUCAAGGGAAUAAAAGUGUGUCAGUUUCGGUUCUGGACUCCACAUUUUGCUAGGGACAUUACCAACUAUCCAGAAGACAGAGAUGGGAAAUGUAAAGGGGCUGCAAAAAAGCCAUGUUACAUAAAGAACCGUGAAAGAAACUGGAAAUAAUUUCCUUAGAGGACAGAAGAUUCCUAGGAAAUAAGACAAUGAACAAUGAAUGUUGGAGAAUGUCCUUUCCUGCCUCUUAAUCAUUCUGAAUCUAAACUAAUGAUAAACUUCAAUCAGGACAUGAAGAAAAUUGCUAAUUCCCUUCAGUUAAAUAACAGUUUAGAUUAAACCAGCAAGAACUUUUGCUCUUUAAUAAAAUGCAAAGUUACC